AGCAGCCGCGGUAAUUCCAGCUCCAAUAGCGUAUAUUAAAGUUGUUGCAGUUAAAAAGCUCGUAGUUGAAUUUCGGGAUUAGUACGCUGGUCAUGCCUUUGGUAUGUACUGGUGUUACUGAUUUCUACCUUCUGAAGAACCGUUAUGUCAUUUAUUUGGUGUGGCGGGGAAUCAGGACUGUUACUUUGAAAAAUUAGAGUGUUUAAAGCAGGCUCGCGCUUGAAUACAUUAGCAUGGAAUAAUGAAAUAGGACGUUUGACCCUAUUUUGUUGGUUUCUAGGAUCGACGUAAUGAUUAAUAGGGAUAGUUGGGGGCAUUAGUAUUCAAUUGUCAGAGGUGAAAUUCUUGGAUUUAUUGAAGACUAACUACUGCGAAAGCAUUUGCCAAGGAUGUUUUCAUUAAUCAAGAACGAAAGUUAGGGGAUCGAAGACGAUCAGAUACCGUCGUAGUCUUAACCAUAAACUAUGCCGACUAGGGAUCGGGAUGAUGUUAUUUUUAAUGACUCAUUCGGCGCCUUAAC
Molecule: ribosomal RNA, 520 nt
Filed under: uncultured Glomeromycotina
Lineage: Eukaryota; Fungi; Glomeromycota
Description: SSU rRNA
Rfam family: Eukaryotic small subunit ribosomal RNA
Source: RNAcentral